Molecule: non-coding RNA, 2010 nt
Organism: Odocoileus virginianus texanus
Lineage: Eukaryota; Metazoa; Chordata; Mammalia; Artiodactyla; Cervidae
Source: RefSeq, a predicted model, not a curated record
CUAACCACUGGACCACCAGGGAAUUUUCAGUUUUCAUAUUUUUAAGAGGUCAAAAGUGUAUAUAAUUUUUCAUGACACAUGAAAGUUGAAUGAAAUUCAAGUCUCAGCAAACAUAAAUAAGAGUUUAACUAGAAUACAGCCACGUUCAUUCAUUUACAUCAUCUAUGGCUGCUUUCAUGCUACAAAUGACAGAGCUGUGAUACAGUGUAUGGCCUGCAAAGUCUAUACUAUCUGGCCCUUUACUGAAAAAGCUCGCAACCCCUGCCUUAGAGGAAUGACUGAAUUCACAUCUGGAGUACGAAACAUACCUGACCCUGUACCAUCUCUUCAUUCCAGAAAAGUAAGGCAGCUAUCACAGACGACUGUGCUUGUGUAAAAAUGACUCAGGAGCCUAUUUAAAAAGACUCCCACUCGCCAAGCGUGGGACAAUUGUAGCAUCAGAGAUAACUGCAAUGAACUAAAACACGUCAAAUAUGUUUAGGGAAUUCCCUGGCAGUCCAGUGGUUAGGACUUUCUACUUCCACUGCAGGGGGUACAGGUUUGAUCCCUGGUCAGGGAACUAAGAUCCCACAUGCCACAGUCAAAAACUUAAACAAAUUCAUGGGUUCAUGAUGAUGCAGAAAACCUCACUGGUUACCUUUGGAGGAUGUUAAGAAACCAUCUCAUUAUUUCAAAUAAUAAACUAAGGAAAAUAAACAUUUAACCUGCCUUUCCUAUUUGAACUAUACUUCAUAAUAAGCACGUAGUUGAUGAGGAAAAGCUUCUCUUUACAGCAGGAUUCCAGCUUGUGAAUGAAAAAGGAAUAACAAAAAACCACCUAAUUAAAAAAUGGAUCUAAGGCAAUGGCAAUACAAAAGAGAAGGACGAUGAAACUCUGCUUCCCAAUCAACAGGUAAAUACCAUCUCUGAUGGAGUCUUGCCCCCUCUCCCUCAAACUGACCCUGAAUCUGAUCAAGCCUGUAGAUCAAAUAAUCAAUUUAAUGCAAACAGAGGGGAAAGAGUAAUGUGUAAAAGACACCACAAGAUGUAAUCAGUAAAAUCCAGAGGGUGGGUAACUCUAGAAGACCCAGUUUCUCUGACAAGAAAUUUCCAAGAAGAAAAAAACAAAUGUAUUUUAAAAGACUUAAAUGAUUCAACCGAAUGCAACAUAUGAACAUAAUUUGGACCCACAUUCGAGCAAACCAUAAAUAAAACAUUUAUGAGACAAUUAGGAAAAUGGGAAAACAAAUUAGAUAUUUUUGACAGUAAGGAAUUACUGUCCACUUUUCAAGGAGUAAUGAUAGUAUUAAUGUUUUAAAAUAUCUUUAUCUUUUAGAGAUACAUGCUGAAGUGUAUAAAGAUGAAUUCUCUGACACUUGCUUCAGAGAGAGUUCAAUUGGGGGUGCUGGGUGUAUAGACACAGGAGACUGACAUAAGUGGGUUAACCAACUGCUGAAACUGGGUGACUACUAGGUUCAAUGCAUUACUCUAUAGUGUACAUCCAGGUUCCCUGAUUGAAAAAAAGAAAGGAACCUUUCUUUCCUUUGUGAUUUCUUCAUGUGGCAGCCUGGUAAACCAGACUGAAAGAUCAGUCCAACCCCACCGCACACCCUGGCAAUUAAGCUCUACUUGGGGACUUCUGCAAGUGUGUGAAAACAUAAAGCAGCUCCUUGUACUCCAAGGGAACAAUCCGCGGUAACGGAUGGCUUCUGUCUGGGUCCCUGCUACAUUCCCAGAUGCCACGCAGGGCCUGGCAUAGGACAGUUGCAGGAGGAAAGAGUGGCUGAAACUCUCUCACAGCUGCCACGACACUUGUUUUACCCGAAAUGGCGCAAUCUAACUCAGAGUCAAGCAAAAAGCAGCUGGGCACGCCAUGUGGGAACGGACCCCAGAGUGACAAGGCACCUACCAAGUCCAUCAUUCUGAAUUAUCUACACUGUCCACAGUUCCAUGGUCCCCUUUUAAUGGAUAUGCUAUUAAACACAAGUUCCUGUCUUCAUCUUCUUCGAAGCUCACGGAUACCACACCUAG